Molecule: long non-coding RNA, 1537 nt
Organism: Cygnus atratus (black swan)
Lineage: Eukaryota; Metazoa; Chordata; Aves; Anseriformes; Anatidae
Exons: 5
Source: RefSeq, a predicted model, not a curated record
UUAAUUUCAGCUCAGUCCAGGCACUUCACAGAACUGAGAACCGGAAAGUCAACAACGAAACUAAAGGCAAUAGCUACAGGGCACAGGUUAGGGAUUCUGUCAACAUCUAAGGCUUGUGAAUGCCUGCUGCAGCAGUCCUCAUUCUGGGCGUGAAAAAAAAAGAAGCUAGAGAAGACAGGAACAUGAAUCUGCAGAGAAAACCUUAUUAAUUGUACAUUGUGGCGAAUUUGAAUAGUGUGUCUUCAAAGAAUAUAUUUCAUAAUCAGAAGAUCACAAAAUAUCUUUCAAACCAAAACAACAUUUUUACCAGCUUUUCAUGAAACCCUGAGUAUUGGCAAGAUUUAUCUGCUGUGACUCAGCAGGUUUGAGGAACAUUUACUCAGACUGAGAUAUUUUUGGAAGAGUAGUCUGACUACUAUAGCUAAGAAUAAUAAUUCUUUAGAAGAUGUUUCAGAUGUUUUUCUCUUUGGAAAAUUGUUCUCAGCUUUAUCAGCUUCAUUAUCACCCCUGAAAAACCUUCACAGUCAGAGUGAAAGUUAAGGUAAAGCAUCAGGAAAACUCUGAAAUUGUAAUGCAAGAAGUAUGUUCCCAUAUGUCACUGGCUGUCUUACAUCAAUGAAACCAAGUGAAAGAUCAUGUUAAGUUCAAGCAUCAACUAUAUAUUCAAUUUUGAACUUUGCACAUUGAAACAUUAUCACGACACAGUGGCAGAAACCACAGACAGAGCAAUCUUGAUGAGCAUGAUGAAAGGCACAGAGCUGGAACAAUCAAGGUUUAUUGAAGAAAAAAAACCCUUCAAUCAAUACCCAAGCAAAAAGUCUGAGAGAACACUGUAGCUUGAGUUGUUCCCAGAUACUUUAUCUCUGCUUCUUCCUAAUAGUAGCUCUCUUGGAUUUAUCACAACUUUUCAUGUUGUGCAACAUUGUGGGAACAGCUUACAAGUUUUUAAAUAUGCUACAUCCAAUACCGUGUGUGUUAUUCAUUAAAUUAACCAUAAGCUUUAUUGUGCUGGGCUAUAUAAAACACUGGGUGUGUAAAUGUACUGGGUCUGGCAGGGAACAUUCCCUGCAGCAGCCCGUACAGUGCUGUACUCUGCACUUGUAACUAGAACAGCACUGGUAACACACCAAUGCUUUGCCUAUUGCUGAGCAGUGAUGGCACAGCACCAAGACUCCCUCCAAACGCCCCAAAGCCAGUAGGCUGCAGGUGGGCAAGAACUGGGGAGGGCAGCUGACCUAAACUGACCAAGGGAUAUUCCAUAGUGUAUGAUGCCACACUCAGCAAUAAAAGGUAGAAAAGAGGAAGGAAAAGGGGGAGAUCUCAUUACAAAGACGUCUGUCCUCCCAAACAACCAAUAUGCGCAUUGAGACUCUGCUUCCCAGAAUGUGGCUGAAUGUUGCUCAUUGGUGGGAAAUAGAGAAGAUUUUUUUUUUCAUUCCCUCUGUGUUUCCACCUGGCCUUUACUUGAUUCUGUUGUUGUUGUUGUUUGCUUGUUUUCCUUCUUUAUUUUCCCAUUAAUUAAAUUAUCCUUAUCUCA